Coturnix japonica (Japanese quail) is the source of this 1560-nucleotide long non-coding RNA. The record is from Ensembl. Lineage: Eukaryota; Metazoa; Chordata; Aves; Galliformes; Phasianidae.
UAGCGAGAUACACUCUCUAUGCAUAUAUGUUUAUAGAUACAGAUAUACUUACAUGUCUAAAAAUCACGUUUAUUUAACUGUAAGCUCCUGAAGUGAGAAAGCAAGCAAUCUAAAAUAUUUAUGUCCACUAUGCAACUGCUAACAAAAUAACUCUUCUUUGACAUCAGUCUUCAGGACUUCCAGCACUUCAGCUUUGCCAUUUUUACAAUGGCUUUGUAGUAAAAGUAGUGCAAACCUUCUAAAAUCAACACAAUAAGUAACCUGGGGAGUAGGAGGUAAACUAAAUGAAGGUCAUCUUUCUACAUACAGAUGUAACCACAGAGCUAGGUGACAUAUUAAUAUUCACUGUAGUUUCAUUUUAAACCUCUGGGAGUUCAUUAGCUUCCCUCUUAUAUGUUAUUGUUCAAAUCCUGCCUAUGACAGAGCAAACAGAAAAGAUAACAAAAAUGAUUGAAUAGAAGGUAUUUUCCAGGUUGUGAAAAUGCAGCUGAAGUAAUACUGUGCUCUGCUGGGCUUCUCAUAUUUUGUUGUAUUACAGGAUAGAUGCAGAAAAUAAGAUGGUUCUCCCUCUUGAGGAAAAAAAACAUUUAUUAUGAGAAUGAAUGCACCAGUCAGAGCAUAUGGGCCUAACAGAUAUGCUUUGGACUGUAAAUGAAGACAUAUGGUUCCUAAAGUCAGUGCAGCUGUUAUGGUUGGAACCAAAGAAUAAUCUGCCUUCUUUGUCAUCAGCUUAAUAGGCCACUUAAAUGCAUUUCAGUGAAGCAGUAGAGCAGACACGGAUUCAUUUACUGAGCAAACCCACAGCAUUACAAUUUUGCAGAAAGAUUUGCUUCUGAUGUGAACUUUGGCCAUUGCUGUUCUAUAAUUUUCUGGCUUACUGGACAUAUUAUGUUGCUGUCUAAUUUUAAGAAGCUUUAAUUUCCUACCUUUUUUUUUUUUUUUUUUUUUUCUUCCAAAAGAUAAUAUUACCAAGUGUAAAAUCUAUACAAAACUUCAUCAUAUAGUACAUAUAAAUAUGAAUGCGAAGAGCUGUUUGAGCUUUCAAUUUUCCUGUUAAGUAAGCUUUAUAUACCCAUUGCAUAGACAUUUUUUCAGAUUUUAUGAUACGGGUAAUCAAGAAAUUGUGUGUUAAUGUUGUUAAGAAGGUUGUGGAUACAGCAAUAUUCACUAGAAUCUACCAUUAGGCUCUCUCUUGUCAUAUUCUAUUUUGAUGAUAACCAUGGAAAAGCUCAGAAUGUGGUAACUUCAUCUUAGCCUUUGGAGGCAGGUGUGGCUUUUUUUUAUUAUUGUUUUUUUCAUUUUUAAUUUAAAAUAUCAAAUGUCUUUGAUAAUGUGCAUUUAAAACCAACUAAGCCAUAUCUUCAAAUGUGAUUUAAAGCCUACACGACUCUUCCAUUAAUUUUCCAUGAGGCUGACUAAGUGGAUAAAUUAUUUUGAAUUUGGGAUUUAGCCUUCUAUGUAACUUGUUACUUAGUCAAACUUUUAAUUAACUAAACUGUUCUCUUUAUGAUUCACAUUGAGCAAUUUCCAACAGCAGUAUUUUUCAGGUGAAAAUUCAUG